This 354-nucleotide unclassified non-coding RNA is filed under the name soil metagenome. RNAcentral's name for it is "partial contains 5.8S ribosomal RNA, internal transcribed spacer 2, and large subunit ribosomal RNA". The stretch from base 1 to 120 matches the Rfam family "5.8S ribosomal RNA", at positions 35 to 154 of the family's 154-position model. The record is from RNAcentral.
GAUGAAGAACGUAGCGAAACGCGAUAUGUAAUGUGAAUUGCAGAAUUCAGUGAAUCAUCGAAUCUUUGAACACACAUGGCGCCUUCCAGUAUCCUGGGAGGCAUGCCUGUCCGAGCGUCGUUUCAACCCUCGAGCCCCCGUGGCCCGGCGUUGGGGAUCUGCCCAGGCAGUCCCCGAAAACCAGUGGCGGACCCGUUACAGGCCCUUCCCUUGCGUAGUAGCAUUCGCCUCGCAUCGGGAGCCGGCGGGCUUCCAGCCUCUAAACCCCCAUCAAGUCCGCCCCGGCGGCACCAAGGUUGACCUCGGAUCAGGUAGGAAUACCCGCUGAACUUAAGCAUAUCAAUAAGCGGAGGA